RNAcentral lists this ribosomal RNA (158 nucleotides) under uncultured Gammaproteobacteria bacterium. RNAcentral describes it as "partial 16S ribosomal RNA". It matches the Rfam family "Bacterial small subunit ribosomal RNA", at positions 355 to 504 of the family's 1533-position model. The record is from RNAcentral. Lineage: Bacteria; Pseudomonadati; Pseudomonadota; Gammaproteobacteria.
UGGGGAAUAUUGGACAAUGGGGGAAACCCUGAUCCAGCAAUGCCGCGUGUGUGAAGAAGGCCUGAGGGUUGUAAAGCACUUUUGUAGAGGAGGAUGGUGAGCUAGGUUAAGAGCUAGGUUCAUUGACGUUACUCUAAGAAUAAGCACCGGCUAACUCC